RNAcentral lists this long non-coding RNA (2548 nucleotides) under Setaria italica (foxtail millet). RNAcentral describes it as "long non-coding RNA (SITA_LNC000532)". Lineage: Eukaryota; Viridiplantae; Streptophyta; Magnoliopsida; Poales; Poaceae. The record is from RNAcentral.
GACAGCUCCAGGUUGUAAUUGUUCUGCCUAAGGAUUUCCUUGUUCAGAUCAAUCUGCCUAAAGCCCAUUUCCUCCAGCUCCCUCAGCAGCUUCUCUUCAUUGUGACCAUCUAUGUCAAAAGGCUCAGGUGCUGCGGCGCUGGCUGCAGGUGGAGGCACAGGCACAGAAGCAGGGGCAGGGGCAGAUGCAGGUGCGGAUGCAGGGGCAGGCAUAGAAACAGGCACAGUUGUAGGCAGGAUAGGCACAUUAACAGGUGAAGGUCCAACCGGGGCAAGCAGCUCAGGUGCAGGUGCAGGCACACUAACAGAAGGCACAAAAGCAGCAGCAGUGGCACUGGACAUGGGAACAUCAACGACAAGGUUUGCAGGAGCUGCUGCAGGCAUAGAGGUAGCAACUACUAGAGCAGGCUGAGAUUUCUUGGGCUCUGGAACAUCACUCGGAUAGAAGUGGAACUCUUUAGUGCGUUUGGCAUGUGCACUAAGGGCUGGGUCAACAGGCUCAAUGUUCACAUCAAUUAGGCUAGUUGUGUUUGCACUACUGCCUUCUGGUGGCAGAUUCAGAUUAAUAGCAGUGUUCCUGUUAUUGUCAUUAACAAAGGAAGGAUCUUCCACCUACAGAUGCAGUUACAGUUCAAAAGUUCAGGUCAGAAAGAAAAUUACUGAGAGUAAACAUCUACAUUUUGGAAAACAAUGUUAAGGUAACAACCUGAAUAUGAACCCAAACUCGCUGACCAAAUUUCUGACCAGAAGGUGAUGCCAACCUCCAGUAAGAUAUGUACCUCCCAGGCCUUGUGGGUGCCACAAAAUCAACAGCAACAUCAAUCUCCUUAUCCACAGGAAACCCAUUGACUGGAAUCUGCACAAUACAAGAAAGCUCAUAACUGAGAACUUGUACAUUUCUAUAACAUGCAGCCUAAUUUGCAAUUCAAAGAAGCAAGCGGAAAUCUAAUCAGAGUAAAUAUAGCUACCUCUAAUGGAACAGAGGUCUGCAAUGCAAACUGAUCUCCACCGACCCAGAUAAGCUGUGUGCCCAAUGGCCACACGAUAGACCCAUUGUUAUGCAUGCGCCAAAUCUUAGUAAACGGGGUAGAAGGUGUCAUCAGUGUGCCAUCCAGGACAGUUACAUCCAAAAUGAAGCGACUUUCAAGUUUCUCCCGUUUCGACUUCAUCACAACCCGUGGGUGGUGCACCUUUCGAUACUUAAAGAAAACAGAUUUUCAAAUCAGUUAUUCUGCUAAGCAACUUAGUCAUACAAAAGAAUACUCCAUCCAAAAUGAGGCACUCACCGAAUGAGGAUCUCUCAGUAACCUGUGUGGUAAAAUAGGCUUGUCUAUUUUGGUGUACUCAACUUCAUUUCCCAUGCGCUGGAAACAGGAAUUGCACAAAUCGUAGUCUUCUUUCCUGUGGGGCAAACAGGAAGAUGUCAGAUCUAACAGCAUCAAAUACAACCAAGAAUUAUUGAAGUAGAAAGUUAUUCGAGGCCUUACACGUUAGAUUUGAAACGUGGACCAACAAUUGGUUGUACUCCACAACCAUCACACUGAAUCCAUCUAUGGAGACUACGUGGUGCUGAGUUCUCCAUAUUGCCAGCAAGAUCUCCAUAUGGAUGCCCAGAAGACAAGAGACGGCCUGGAUAAGGAAAAUGUGGAGAAGGUCCAUAGCCUGGUGGUGCAUGAGACACUGCUGCAGGUGGUGCAUAGGGAACUUUAUACAUUGGAAUGCGCCAUCUGGAAUCACUAGUGACUUUUGUAUUAUUUUCAGAUUGCCACUGGUGUGGUUGGCUCCUUCGUGGACGGAACAAUUCAGAAACACAAGGAGGUGGAGGUGGAACAUGAAUGGGAACAGCAUGCGGGGAGGCAGGCUGAGUGGCAGAGGACGCAACAGAUUUGCCCUUACUUUGAGCAUCAAUCUUCCCUUUGCAAACAGGUUUGUCAACUGAAUUACUGGGGAACAGCAACUCCUCAACAGAUGGGUACAUUGAUGGUUGCUGACCUUGAGAAGCCUCAACACUAGGAGCAGCAACAGGAGCAUCCUUUAACACACUCCUAAGAUCCAAACAUGCCUUAGCUUUGGGCUUAGCUGUGGCAGGAACAGCAACAGGAGCAUCCUCUGCCACACGAGUAGAAGAGGUGGAUGACCCUUCAGCAUGUGCAUCAGAUGGUCCAUUGCCACCAUUGCUUGGUGCCAUCAUUUGCACAAAAGGUUUCAUCAGCUCAGCUAAUGGUGGUGGUGCCGCAUCAAGUACUUCAUGAGAGAGUUUUGCAAUGGCAUCAGGAAUUGGCUCUGGGAUAGACUUGAUAGCUUCACCUAUAGCUGAUUUUAUAUGUGCCAGACUUUCUUCCUGAGCAGGUUUCAAACCUUCGAUAGCUGACAUUAUCUGGGACAGUGGAUCCUGAGCAGUAGGCUUCACAGGUGUAGAAUUUCUCUCCUUUUGUUCAGUUGGUUGACUUUUCUUUAGCUGAACAGUAAUCCUCAGAGGGUUUAGUUUCUGACGCAGAGCUGCAUCACGCAGGUCAUCAUCAUCAUCUAGCAUGACAGCAUCACCAUCC